Molecule: ribosomal RNA, 330 nt
Filed under: uncultured eukaryote
Lineage: Eukaryota
Description: partial 18S ribosomal RNA
Rfam family: Eukaryotic small subunit ribosomal RNA
Source: RNAcentral
CCCUUAGAUGUUCGGGGCCGCACGCGCGCUACUCUGAAGGAAUCAGCACGUCUUUCUCCUUGUCCGAAAGGACUGGGUAACCCGCUGAACCUCCUUCGUGCUAGGGAUUGGGGCUUGUAAUUCUUCCCCAUGAACGAGGAUUUCCCAGUAAGCGCGAGUCAUAAGCUCGCGUUGAUUACGUCCCUGCCCUUUGUACACACCGCCCGUCGCUACUACCGAUUGGAUGGUUUAGUGAGAUCCUCGGAUUGGUCCCGGAGCGGCCUCUGGUCGUGCCGGAGUGCCGAAAAGAAUGUCGAACUUGAUCAUCUAGAGGAAGUAAAAGUCGUAACA